Osmerus eperlanus (European smelt) is the source of this 5551-nucleotide long non-coding RNA. RefSeq lists it as uncharacterized. Lineage: Eukaryota; Metazoa; Chordata; Actinopteri; Osmeriformes; Osmeridae. The record is from RefSeq and is a predicted model, not a curated record. The transcript has 2 exons.
UAAGGGUUGGUGAAGGGUUGGGUUAGGGUUGAUUGAGGCUUAGGUGGGCCGGUGAGAUGUGAGGGGGGUUCCUUGAGCAGUGGGGUUCCUUGAGCAGUUUAGGGUGGCUAAGGUGAGAGGUGAGGGGGUUCCUUGAGCAGUUUAGGGUGGCUAAGGUGAGAGGUGAGGGGGUUCCUUGAGCAGUUUAGGGUGGCUAAGGUGAGAGGUGAGGGGGGGUUUCCUUGAGCAGUUUAGGGUGGCUAAGGUGAGAGGUGAGGGGGUUCCUUGAGCAGUUUAGGGUGGCUAAGGUGAGAGGUGAGGGGGGUUCCUUGAGCAGUUUAGGGUGGCUAAGGUGAGUCGGAGAAGCAGUAGCAGCGAUUCCAUUUGCUUCGUCUUUUCUGUCUGUGUGCCGAACACGUUGUGAGCUUCUGUGUUGUUGGUGAUGGAUUCCUGCUGUGGACUACACAGUGCCUGCAUGUCAAUGAGCUCUGUGUCCUCCUGUGGUUUCCUAUUUAAAUAUGUGUGCUGUGGACUGUGUCAGUCCCUGUUGUGGAUUAUGUUAAACUUCAUAUGUGUUCAGCUACAUGUCUGUGGGACUGAGUCGUGGGAUUCACAAACAAGAGGAGUAUGUGCUUAGGGGAGGAAGUCUUCUGUUAUAUGCGCUGCUCUACUGUAUUCUGCUCCUCCGCACUGUUCUGCUUUAUUGUAAACGGUGACUUGUGGGAUGGAGGUGGACUGUGUAUUUGUGUUCUCGUUUCUAAAGCGAUGUGUUUCUGUGCUCGAUGUGUGUCUUUUGUGGAUGUGCUCUGUGGCAUCACUGAUACUGAAAUCACCUCUAUAUGGGCCAGUGUGUCGGUGAAACCUCUUCGAAACCACUUACUCCCUCUCACUCUGCGCAUCAUCUGGGUUGAUGUCUGGUGAUGUCGAUACUGAAAUGGUAUCAUAAACACUGUUCUAUCGGUCUGCCAUCUUGCAUUCAUUUGUAUACCCUGGCAACAGAACUGCACCUAGUAGAUCAGUCUUAUCUCUUACCUUACCAUCUAUACUCCCUUGGCUCUAACUGUCUGGGUACUUGCUGAAUUCAGCUUAGUCUCUGACUGUACUGGACAUAUAUAGAUGGUAUAACCCAUGUAGGGAUGGUAGAAACUAGUUAUUGAUGAUAGAACCAUGAAGGCAGCACAAUGAAGAGGUGAUAUCAGUUUUUGGCAGCAGAGUGGAGGAGAGAGAGCAGCGUUGGAGGCAACCGAUUGGAGGCGAUAUAGAGGAGAUAGCAGAAGAGCCAUUUAAGUUUGUAGUCGAGCGACUGACGAUCUAUUGCCAUCUACAUACACAUCUAUGAACAUGCCUAUAGGGAUACUUCGACCCCCGAGAUAGUGUAUAGUGGUCAUUCUGAGAUGAUCUGGAUCCUGGCCUCCGCUGGUUAGUGACCAUCUGCUGGCCCCUCUCCCUCACAGAACACAGGGGGGGGGGGGACCAAUUCAGUGCCAUUCCGUCAUCCCCCCAGAGAUGUCCUGAAGCAAAGGCGGUGUGGUUCGAAGGCUGCUCAAAGUCCUAUGUUCUCUCUCUCUCUUUAGUGAUGCUAAGCAAAGUUGAUAGUAAUACUGAUAUUAUUAUCCUCUUGUUCACAGUUUUUUCUGUUUCUCUUUGUCUGUCUUUUUCUCUUAAAGACACACUAACAUGGACAUAGACACAGAGCAAACCAAUAGCGUAGCCAGUAUUUUAUCUUAAAAUGAGCGGGCCACAAACAAACCCAAAAAAUCAACAAAUCCUUAAUUUCUUAAGUCAGAAAUCUGUGAGGGCUUCGCUACUGGAGAAAACGAACAUUUUGCCAGCAGAGAAUAAGAAUUGACUGUGCAGGAGGGGCUGUCCUGUGGAAUUAUGUUAACCAAUCAUGGGAAGCAUUUGUGUACAGUAAGUAUGAGUGUUUGAAUGUGUGAGUGGGAGUGUGUUGGUGUAUGUAGUAAAUAAUUGUUUCCAGACUAGGAAAGCUCCUCACACUGUAUAUGCAACACUGAUUUCCCAAUAGUUCCACCGAGCAGAGGAUAGCUGGUAUUAUGAGGCACACAGACACACACACAUACACCACAGAAACCACACACACACCCAUACUUACACACACACACCACACACUGGUCCAAAUCAAUUGAACUAACAGUACAGCCUUCUUUCUGAUAAGCAACACAUAAUGCACCACCUUUGUGGAUUCAUUCCUCACCUACGUAAAUUGCCAUGCUGACAAAAGACAAACAUGCACGCACAUGAACUCACACAACGUGUGGUGGAUUCUGCUGCUCCCCUAGCAGCGCAAAGCCACUUUAGCCCAUGGGUAGAGUGGCUUUUAUUAAACCCUGUUUUACAUAAUAUGCAAUAGAUUUACUGGUGUGGGCACCUGAGUUUAGACUGCUGAAGUUACUAAAGGUUAACGCUAAUACAGGCCUCCGUUUCACAUCAGAAUUUAUUGAGAACAACUCCAGGUUUGGAAAAGGUAAUUUUGUGUUGCAUGCUUACAGAGACAAAACUCAUUUUACCCUAAAUCUGGGAGCACGGGACUGGAUGGCUGACAAACUUGCUGACCGGCUGACUGACUGAUGUAGAAAAAGGGAAUGGAAUUGUUUGGCUGACAAUUUGACUUGCAGUCUGAAUGAAUGAAUGAAUGUCUAGAGUUUAUCCAGGCCAGCAAGUCAGGAUUUUAUAGUAUUUUAUUUCUUAUUUUGAUCUAGUGCCAUCAUGCAAGUUAAACCUAGUUUUUUGUUGUCACCCUCAGUGACACUAUACUAUUCUAAAAUAGGAGGUACAGUAUUAGGAAAGAGGUGACAGUUUAAUAGAGAGAGAGAGAGAGAGAGAGAGAGAGAGGGAGGGAGGGAGAGGGAGGGAGAGAAAGAAGUGAAAGGUGAAGAAGAGAAAGACAGAGAUGGAAGAACUGAUCUUUCUUUGGGUGGUAUAGGCCAGCAUAUCUUUAUUUGUCUGGUUUACUAUUAUCUCAGACAGUCCUCUUUAACAGAACAGUUAAGGACUGGGAUUGUUGAGUUGAACUGAGUGACAAUGAGUAACAAUGAAGUUAUGUUUAUAAUGGCCCCAUCAUCAAACUCUGGUCACAUCAUUAAACUCGUAUCAUCUAAAUUUCCUUCUUUAGUUUCAGCAGAGCUGGACUUGUUUGCUCUGUGGCUCAGGGAUGUCUUUCUUGCACUGUUUGAGGAUGAACUGCCAAUUAAUCAUGUCAAUAUGCUGAAUUAGUCGUGGCCAUGCCACAGUAAUGAUACAUGCAUAGAUACACUUUAUUUUAAUUUCCCUUCAGGAUUGAGUCUGCUGUCCAAAGGUUAAUUUACCAGUUUAUGGAGAUUGUUCCAUAUUCUCCCUCACGUGGGAAAAUUAGGGAGUUGGGGGGUGUGCCUCACUGUAAUUGUCAGUCACAACACACAAAGCUACUGUACACAACAAUCACAGCACACACACAUGUCCAAUAAAAGUAAUAAGAGUGGGGAUUAAAGUCCCAAACUGGACUGAAAUGAAUCUAACAAAUCAGUCAAGGCAAAUGUGGUUCAAUAAAGCCAGUUCUAGUUUCUAAAAUCAGACUAUUUAGGCCAGGUUCAGGAAGUCAAGAUAAUUGGGUGUGUGCGCUAUUCUUUAUUGAAAGGUCGAACAUGGAUUUAAGCAAUCCACCAUGGCAAGAAUAAAUGUUCAAGGCCAUGUUACCUUUACCUGAAAGUACAUUCUCUUUAAGCCGUGUCCCAUGACAAUUCCCUCAUCCACCACCUCAUCAAUGAAGGGACACGCCAUGACAUGAACAGUAUGUAGGUUAAUGUCCUUUUUAUAGACCUUCACUUUAUUAACUACAUUGAUAAAGAGAAACAUACACCCACUAAACACAUCUAUGGUACCUUUUUGAUAAUAUUUAUUUACUUUCGUUUAACAUUAACCAUCACAUUUUUUUAUAUAUUUUUUUGUUUAAAAAAAUUGAGGAUAGAGGCAUAGAUUUCGAUACUAAAUUUCUGUUAAAAUAUUUUUUGCUAAUAUACCGUCAACUAUUUAUGUAUCUAUGAUCAUUCUAUUGGGGAAUUUACAUAUUUUAUGUACCAUAAGCUUAAACAUUUGAUAUCACAUAGACUAGGCUACCAUAUAAUUCAAAUGAAUGUAGAUCUGUAUCUUAUCAUUUAUCAUUGUAUAAUUAAUUAAGUGUAUUAUUUAUUUAAGUUGAUUUUCUAUAAACAAAAAUGUUUGACUUGGUGGUUAAUGAAGUAAAAUAUGGCAGCACACCAGAAAGUCUGUGGUAAAUCAUGGUUUUCCGGUCAGCUCAGUUUUACAUGAAUGUCUGGUCAAACAACAACACAGGCUACGCCUGACAGAUAGCCUGCCUGGAACCGAUUUAAAGUAGUUUCGCAACAUAAGUUGCAUAGUAAUUUAGUUUGAACUAUGUGGAACUUGAUUUAUGGAACCCAAAUAACUGGAAAUGAGUCAGACUAAUUGACAUAAUCCUGGCUUGCUUAUUUAGUGAACUCGCUUUAUGGAAAAGGCCUCUAGUCUUCAAACUAAACUUGUUUGAUUUGUUAGAUUUUUUAACAAAUUAAAUAAAUAUUCUAAUAGUUUUGGGGGAAUUUGACCCUGGUGUGGCGAAGGGAGUUUAAGGAUCUCGGCUUCAGUAUGACAUUGUGUGGAUUUCUUAGUCCAAUGAGCCGCACUGAAGGCAAGGCAAAAAUUAAGAUGAGCCAGAGGAAGGGGCAUAUUUAGAUCUACUGGAAUGGUCAUAUUCUAAAGGCCACCACUGUCUUAAGUAUGUGUGUGCGUUCUCGAGCAUGUGUGUGUGUUUGUGUGCAUUUAUGUUUGUGUGACUCAUGUAGUUGUUCCGGAGUUUAGAGAUUAACUAAAUGAAAGCAUAUGCCAGCUCUAACGAAGAAUAUUACGUUUGUCUGCACAUUCAUUUGUUGUGCUUGUCUUUUGCAUGUGCGCAACUACAUGGAACUGCAUGUGUGUGCUGUACAGUCAGACCCAGUGUCUCCCUAUGUUCUAAACUUUGAUGUUUGAGCCUAAUUGUGUGCCUAUCCUGCUGUGCUGUGUGCUAGGUGUGCGUUGCUACGCUGUUGAAUGGCCUAUGAUGUUUACUUGCAUUUUUCCAUUCUGGCUUGUAUCUUAUUAUCUGAGGGAGGUCCUGUCAGGUCUGCUCUUCCAGUGCCAGCACAGAUUUACUGCUAUUAUGAUUGUUGUUACAACAAUGUUCUGCCCAGUUUUUUUUUUUGGCAUGGUAGAGGAACAAGAUGCUAUCCAUAGGUACAUGAUAUGGUCUGGUUUCCAUUUAGGCUUUGGCAAUUGACAAAUAUUUUCCAUGUUUUGUGCUGUGUCUGUAAGUGUGUCUGUCUGUGAGUGUGUCUGCAUAUUUGUUACUUUGGGAUUGCCGAUGUGCAUCAUAGAAAAUGUUUUUCAUGACUGAUCUUUUUUUCUCUGCCCCCUUCCUUUAUUUAUUUAUAACAUGUACAUUAAAUGAUUCUUCUAUUGUUAUGAUGUGAACCUGUUCCUAUGCUACUGCUUCAUGCUGUAAUGCUAAUAUAUUUAAAUAAAGUUUAUCGUCUUUCAACUCCAA